AAACUUUCAACAACGGAUCUCUUGGUUCUGGCAUCGAUGAAGAACGCAGCGAAAUGCGAUAAGUAAUGUGAAUUGCAGAAUUCAGUGAAUCAUCGAAUCUUUGAACGCACAUUGCGCCCUCUGGUAUUCCGGGGGGCACACCUGUUCGAGCGUCAUUA
RNAcentral lists this ribosomal RNA (158 nucleotides) under Pseudoarthrographis phlogis. Its description in RNAcentral is "5.8S ribosomal RNA". It matches the Rfam family "5.8S ribosomal RNA". From Rfam's summary of the family: 5.8S ribosomal RNA (5.8S rRNA) is a component of the large subunit of the eukaryotic ribosome. The record is from RNAcentral. Lineage: Eukaryota; Fungi; Ascomycota; Dothideomycetes.